RNAcentral lists this ribosomal RNA (1439 nucleotides) under metagenome. Its description in RNAcentral is "bacterial SSU rRNA". It matches the Rfam family "Archaeal small subunit ribosomal RNA". The record is from RNAcentral.
ACCCGUUGAUCCUGCGGGAGGUUGCUGCUAUUAGGGUUCGACUAAGCCAUGCAAGUUUAGGGGCUUUCUUCGGAAAGCACCGGCAAAAUGCUCAGUAACACGUCGAUAAUCUAACUUUAGGUUCGGGAUAACCUUGGAAAACUGAGGCUAAUACCGAAUAUGAGAUAAUAUCUGGAAUGAUUCUUCUCUUAAAAGCAAUGCCUAAAGAUGAGUCGGCGGUGGAUUAGGUAGUUGGUGGGGUAAAGGCCCACCAAGCCGAAGAUCCGUAGGGGCCUUGAGAGAGGUAGCCCCGAGAAGGGUACUGAAACACUGACCCUAGCCCCACGGGGUGCAGCAGGCGCGGAACCUCUACAAUGCACGAAAGUGUGAUAGGGGGACCCUAAGUGCUUAGCUUACGCUAGGCUUUUGCCAAAAAUAAAUACUUUGGCGAAUAAGUGGUGGGAAAGACUGGUGCCAGCAGCCGCGGUAACACCAGCGCCACAAGUGGCAAUCACAUUUAUUGGGCCUAAAGCGUCCGUAGCCGGUUUGAUAAAUCUUCUGUGAAAUUGGUAAGCCUAACUUAUCAGCGUGCAGAAGAAACUGUCAGACUUGGAACCGGGAGGGGUUUGGAGUAUUUUUGGGGGAGCGGUAAAAUGCUAUAAUCCCAAAAAGACUGCCUGUGGCGUAGGCGCCAAACCAGAACGGAUUCGACGGUGAGGGACGAAAGCUAGGGGAGCAAACCGGAUUAGAUACCCGCGUAGUCCUAGCUGUAAACUCUGCGAGCCAGGUGUUGCACAUUCUUCGUGGAUGUGCAGUGUCGAAGAGAAGUCGUUAAGCUCGCCGCCUGGGAAGUAUAGUCGCAAGGCCGAAACUUAAAGGAAUUGGCGGGGGAGCACCACAAGGGGUGCGGCGUGCGGUUUAAUCUAAUUCAACGCAGAAAAUCUCACCAGAGGCGACGGCAGGAUGAAAGUCAGGCUAAAGACCUUACUUGACGAGCCGAGAGGUAGUGCAUGGCCGCCGUCAGCUCGUGCCGUAAGGUGUCCUGUUAAGUCAGGCAACGAGCGAGACCUGUGCUUACAAUUGCUAACAACUCUAUCAGAGGAUUGAGCACAUUGUAGGAACUGCCCGUGAAAAUGGGAGGAAGGUGCAGGCUACGGUAGGUCUGUAUGCUCCGAAUCCUCUGGGCUACACGCGCGCAACAAUGGUAUGGACAAUGGGAUGCAACUCCGAGAGGAGAAGCUAAACCUCUAAACCAUAUCUAAGUUCAGAUUGAGGGCUGUAACUCGCCCUCAUGACGAUGGAAUCCCUAGUAAUCGGACGUCAACAUCGUCCGGUGAAUAUGUCCCUGCUCCUUGCACACACCGCCCGUCAAACCAACCGAGCAGGGUUUAGGUGAGUAUUAGGCAUUUUACCUGAUCCGAAUCUAAGCUCAGUGAGGUGGGUUAAGUCGUCACAAGGUA